This 254-nucleotide ribosomal RNA is filed under the name uncultured bacterium. RNAcentral's name for it is "partial 16S ribosomal RNA". It matches the Rfam family "Bacterial small subunit ribosomal RNA", at positions 524 to 776 of the family's 1533-position model. The record is from RNAcentral.
UACGUAGGGAGCAAGCGUUGUCCGGAUUUAUUGGGCGUAAAGAGCUCGUAGGCGGCUUAGCAAGUCAGGUGUGAAACCUCCAGGCUCAACCUGGAGACGCCACUUGAUACUGCUAUAGCUUGAGUUUGGUAGGGGAAGACGGAAUUCCUGGUGUAGCGGUGAAAUGCGCAGAUAUCAGGAGGAACACCGGUGGCGAAGGCGCCACUCUGGGCCGGUACUGACGCUGAGGAGCGAAAGCGUGGGUAGCAAACAGG